Molecule: long non-coding RNA, 1167 nt
Organism: Arvicola amphibius (Eurasian water vole)
Lineage: Eukaryota; Metazoa; Chordata; Mammalia; Rodentia; Cricetidae
Exons: 4
Source: RefSeq, a predicted model, not a curated record
AGCCAGGGACAAUUCAUUUCCAAAGUACAAAAUCCCAACACAGGAAAAAGUGGCCAGAACUUCCACGGGAAUCAAGCCCCCAUGUUCUUUUCUAACGUAAUCAAGAGUGCUGGAAAGGCGGCCUGGACAAGAUCAUAGAAGACAUCAUAACUUCUUUUCUUACAUUUUUCUGUAGGCCUGUGGUCCUCUACUUGGGGAAAUGGAAAGGUGCCUGUACACUAGCACAGAAGCCAAAGGAAGAUGUCCAGUGUCCCACUCUUCCCCUCUCCAUCUUAUUCCCUUGAGAAUGGUUCUCUCACCAAACCUGACUGUGGAGCUCGGCUGACGACAGCCAACUGACAAGAACUUGGUCAAGACUGCCGAGAUGAAACAAAAAUUCCCCAUCUGUGAAUGUAGGUAAAUUUAUUAGACCUUCCUAAUGGGAAAGUUGACCGUGGCUUGUGUUUGUCUGGAUAGUCAAGAAAAUCAGAAGCAAUACCAUCCACAGUGGUAGGAAAGAAAGGAUGUAUUAUGGAAUCAGCUCACAUGACAUGGAGGCUGGAAGCCCCAUGACAGCCAUUUGCAAGCUGGAGAUCCAGAGUCUCCAGUGGUAGGACUCACAUGCCAAGGCCAGAGGUCCCAGAAGCCAGUGGUGAACCCCAGGCUAGAACCAAAGUCCCGGAAAAGGGCUGGACGGUGGGAGAAGCAGAGUGGGUUGUAGAGCAGAGGGGACCAGAGGACUUGGGCUUUGAUGUUUCAAUGGCAAAGGAGGAUGUGUACCAGCUUUAGGAGAGAAGGGAGAUUCUUGCUUUCUCUGACUUUUAAAGUGUGUGUGUCUGUGUGUGUGUGUGUGUGUGUGUGUGUGUGCAUGCGCGCCCACACACACACAUAUAGACACAUGCAUAUCACUACACGCUGUUUCAUACAACAGGCUAGCUGGUUUCGGUGCUUCAUGGAUUCUCGUAUCUAGACUGCUAUCCAGCUGUAGGAGUGUUGGGAUUACAGAUGCAGGCUGCUGCGUCCAGUUUUACAAGGGGUUCAAACUCAGGCCCUUCCUCUGCUCUUUUACUCUUCAAAGAAUUGGAAGCUCAAUGACAGCAGCCAAGGAAGAUCUUUACUCAGUCUGUUGACUCAAAUGCUAAGUUUUUCCUGAAUUACCUUCACAGAGAAACCCGGAAGUAAAGCUUU